AUCAAAUUACAUCUGGUAUCUACAUGUACAUGCAUGAUAAUUGCUGGUCACAGUAACAAAUUGUGAAUAUUAGUAGCCAUGAAUAUGUCACAACCUAUGGUAUUGCAGUUGUUUAUACUAGUUAUAAUGAGUAAAGUAAUAAACAAAUUUGCCCACCCUCCUUUGUAAUAGGAUACUGUAAUUAUAGUGGCCUUAGUGAGGGAUCUUUAUUGGGGAAAAUAUUCAUUAUUUAUCUUAUUAAUUAGCAGGUAUUGCCACACAAAUGGUGGAUAUGAAACGGGAAGGAGUCAUGAGCUUAUUUCCAGCAAAUAGUCAAUCAAUUUAAGAUUGGGCUCCUGUCCAGCAUUAAAAUAUGGAUACAGCUUAAAGCCUGUGACUGUUGCUACAAGCCUCCUGUAAUGAAUACAACAUUUCAAACUCCUCUCGUCAAAUUAUAUUUCUGUUAAAUAUAGAUCUAAUUUUGUUUUUAACAAAUAUUGUUUAUUUUACUUAUUUUCAAUAGUUUAGGAUGCUUCUUUUCAACUGCCUUGGAUGCACUUUCAGGAUUACCUAAAAAUU
Amphimedon queenslandica is the source of this 558-nucleotide long non-coding RNA. RefSeq lists it as uncharacterized. Lineage: Eukaryota; Metazoa; Porifera; Demospongiae; Haplosclerida; Niphatidae. The record is from RefSeq and is a predicted model, not a curated record. The transcript has 2 exons.